This 468-nucleotide ribosomal RNA is filed under the name uncultured bacterium. RNAcentral describes it as "partial 16S ribosomal RNA". It matches the Rfam family "Bacterial small subunit ribosomal RNA", at positions 28 to 507 of the family's 1533-position model. The record is from RNAcentral.
GACGAACGCUGGCGGCGUGCUUAACACAUGCAAGUCGAACGGAAAGGCCCUGCUUUUGUGGGGUACUCGAGUGGCGAACGGGUGAGUAACACGUGAGUAACCUGCCCUUGACUUUGGGAUAACUUCAGGAAACUGGGGCUAAUACCGGAUAGGAGCUCCUGCUGCAUGGUGGGGGUUGGAAAGUUUCGGCGGUUGGGGAUGGACUCGCGGCUUAUCAGCUUGUUGGUGGGGUAGUGGCUUACCAAGGCUUUGCCGGGUAGCCGGCCUGAGAGGGUGACCGGCCACAUUGGGACUGAGAUACGGCCCAGACUCCUGCGGGAGGCAGCAGUGGGGAAUAUUGCACAAUGGGCGGAAGCCUGAUGCAGCAACGCCGCGUGCGGGAUGACGGCCUUCGGGUUGUAAACCGCUUUCGCCUGUGACGAAGCGUGAGUGACGGUAAUGGGUAAAGAAGCACCGGCUAACUACGUG